GAUGAACGCUGGCGGCGUGCCUAAUACAUGCAAGUCGAGCGAACAGAUAAGGAGCUUGCUCCUUUGACGUUAGCGGCGGACGGGUGAGUAACACGUGGGUAACCUACCUAUAAGACUGGAAUAACUCCGGGAAACCGGGGCUAAUGCCGGAUAACAUUUAGAACCGCAUGGUUCUAAAGUGAAAGAUGGUUUUGCUAUCACUUAUAGAUGGACCCGCGCCGUAUUAGCUAGUUGGUAAGGUAACGGCUUACCAAGGCAACGAUACGUAGCCGACCUGAGAGGGUGAUCGGCCACACUGGAACUGAGACACGGUCCAGACUCCUACGGGAGGCAGCAGUAGGGAAUCUUCCGCAAUGGGCGAAAGCCUGACGGAGCAACGCCGCGUGAGUGAUGAAGGUCUUCGGAUCGUAAAACUCUGUUAUUAGGGAAGAACAAAUGUGUAAGUAACUGUGCACGUCUUGACGGUACCUAAUCAGAAAGCCACGGCUAACUACGUGCCAGCAGCCGCGGUAAU
This 514-nucleotide ribosomal RNA is filed under the name uncultured bacterium. Its description in RNAcentral is "bacterial SSU rRNA". It matches the Rfam family "Bacterial small subunit ribosomal RNA", at positions 28 to 524 of the family's 1533-position model. The record is from RNAcentral.